This 253-nucleotide ribosomal RNA is filed under the name uncultured bacterium. RNAcentral describes it as "partial 16S ribosomal RNA". It matches the Rfam family "Bacterial small subunit ribosomal RNA", at positions 524 to 776 of the family's 1533-position model. The record is from RNAcentral.
GACGUAGGGCGCGAGCGUUGUCCGGAUUUAUUGGGCGUAAAGAGCUCGUAGGCGGCUUGUCGCGUCGAAUGUGAAAUCUCGGGGCUCAACUCCGAGCUUGCAUUCGAUACGGGCAGGCUAGAGUUCGGUAGGGGAGACUGGAAUUCCUGGUGUAGCGGUGAAAUGCGCAGAUAUCAGGAGGAACACCGGUGGCGAAGGCGGGUCUCUGGACGGCAACUGACGCUGAGGCACGAAAGCGUGGGGAGCAAACAGG